CCGAAGCAACAGACUUUUUUUUAAAGUGGUAGCAGAACAUUCUGUACGUUAAUAAAGGUAUAUGGUGACAUAUACUAAAAAUAUCAGAAGUGAAAAUGUUGAUAUGAGUAGCGAUAAACGAUGUGUGAAAAACAUCGUCGCCGAAAAUCCAAGGUUUUUGGGGGAAGGCUAAUCCUCCCCGUAGAAUUCUUAUGAAUUCGCACAAACGGCCCCUAAGAAAAAAGCGAAAGCUGUAUUCAAUGGGAUGAUGGAUUAUCCAUCUUUAUUAAUUAGUGACAAAGUAUGCAUUUUAAAUAUAUUUUAUGAUUACAAUAUAUUUUUUUAAAUACUUUCAGGAAAAAGCUUUUUAAAUAAAAACCGUACUGUAAACCGACACAGGUGGGUGGGUCGAGUAGACUAAGGCGCUUGGGAGAACUAUGUUGAAGGAACUCGGCAAAAUGACUCCGUAACUUCGGGAUAAGGAGUGACCUUUUUUCUUUUUAAGCCAGAUAAAUAUAAUUUUGGUACAAUUGAAUAAAGGCCGACACAAAAUCGGGGGUGGCGACUGUUUAGUAAAAACACAGGUCUCUGCUAACUCGUAAGAGGACGUAUAGGGACUGAUACCUGCCCGGUGCUGCAAGGUUAACGGGAGAAGUUUUGGCUUCGAACUUAAGCCCCAGUAAACGGCGGCCGUAACUCUGACGGUCCUAAGGUAGCGAAAUUCCUUGGCAACUAAUUAUUGUCCUGCAUGAAUGGUAUAACGACUGCCCUACUGUCUCCAGCAUAGACUCAGUGAAAUUGAAAUGCCCGUGAAGAUGCGGGCUACCUACAGCUAGACGGAAAGACCCCGUGCACCUUUACUAUAGAUAUACAUUGCAGUAAAGAAAUUUAUGUGUAGAAUAGGUGGGAGCUUUUGACGCCUUUGCGUAAGCAAAUUGUAGAAGCGCUCUUGAAAUACCACCCUUAAGUUUUUUUACAGCUCAUUUUAUUAAAGACAUUGUAUAUUAGGUAGUUUGACUGGGGCGGUCGCCUCCUAAAUAGUAACGGAGGCGUACGAAGGUAAGUUCAAAUCGGCAUAUAUCGAUUGUAGAGCACAAUAGUAUAAGCUUGCUUGACUGUAAGAUUGACAAAUCGAGCAGGGACGAAAGUCGGUUAUAGUGAUCCGGCGAUUCUUUGUGGAAGGGUCGUCGCUCAACGGAUAAAAGGUACGCCGGGGAUAACAGGCUUAUAAUCCCCUAGAGAUCUUAUCGACGGGAUUGUUUGGCACCUCGAUGUCUGAUCUGCACAUCCUGGGGCUGAAGGCGGUCCCAAGGGUUCGGCUGUUCGCCGAAUAAUGUGCAACGUGAUCUGGGUUUAGAACGUCGUGAGACAGUUUGGUCCCUAUCUACUGUGGGCAUUGAAAAAUUGAGAGGAUUAAACCCUAGUACGAGAGGACCGGGAAAAGUAAAUCUCUGUUUACCAGUUGUCAUAU
This 1450-nucleotide ribosomal RNA is filed under the name marine metagenome. Its description in RNAcentral is "bacterial LSU rRNA". It matches the Rfam family "Bacterial large subunit ribosomal RNA", at positions 1194 to 2729 of the family's 2925-position model. The record is from RNAcentral.